Molecule: transfer RNA, 67 nt
Filed under: Trepobates sp. XD-2019
Lineage: Eukaryota; Metazoa; Arthropoda; Insecta; Hemiptera; Gerridae
Description: tRNA-Leu
Rfam family: tRNA
About the family: Transfer RNA (tRNA) molecules are approximately 80 nucleotides in length. Their secondary structure includes four short double-helical elements and three loops (D, anti-codon, and T loops).
Source: RNAcentral
UCUAAUAUGGCAGAAGAUAUGCAAUGAAUUUAAGAUUCAUAUAUAAAGAUCAAAUCUUUUUUUAGAA